Molecule: ribosomal RNA, 324 nt
Filed under: uncultured bacterium
Lineage: Bacteria
Description: bacterial SSU rRNA
Rfam family: Bacterial small subunit ribosomal RNA
Source: RNAcentral
GACUGAACGCGUGGCGGCGUGCUUAACACAUGCAAGUCGAACGGGGAACCUUUAUUGAAGCUUCGGCAGAUUUAGAUUGUUUCUAGUGGCGGACGGGUGAGUAACGCGUGGGUAACCUGCCUUAUACAGGGGGAUAACAGUCAGAAAUGACUGCUAAUACCGCAUAAGACCACAGCACCGCAUGGUGCAGGGGUAAAAACUCCGGUGGUAUGAGAUGGAUCCGCGUCUGAUUAGCUAGUUGGUAAGGUAAUGGCUUACCAAGGCAACGAUCAGUAGCCGACCUGAGAGGGUGACCGGCCACAUUGGGACUGAGACACGGCCCAA